CAUCCGCGUCUGAGGUGUUCAGGUCUUUUCUGGUGGCUUCUCUGAGUAGCUCCAAAUUGCCGUCGGCAGCUGCCUGGUGGUACCGGGUGGACAUCUUCCCCGCUGAUUGAUGUGGAAAUGUGGAGAACCAAACUCAAGGGUGGAAAAACGAGAAAUUGAAAGAAACCGAAAACGACAGAUUCUGCCUCCAGGUCCCAGCUCACAGAGGACCAACGCUAGCCGUCUCCUAAUCCUCCCUUCUGUCUCUUAAAAUGAAAAGCUACAGGCAAGCCACAAAUUGGAAGACUAAUUAAGAACUUGAAGGAAGAAUCGCUGUGUGUGCCUCAUCUCGGAACUGGAGAAAAGUAUAAGCAAUUUAAUAAACUAUCUGGACUGAUUUAAGCGCUCAGCACAGUAUUCCAUAGUUGUUCUGCUUCCUGGCAUUCAAGCAGGACUGAAAAUAGAUGCAAAGGAGCAGCUUUUGACUGGAAGAAUUGAGCUAGAAGACUGUGCUCACAAAUCCGGUCUGGCAAGUGAGAAACGGAAGAUCUUUCCUCCGGCUAACCCUUGAAUCAAAGCCUGCUAAAAACAAUGAAUGUGCUUGAUGACACCCAAGGAAGAUCACACAAAACAAGGCUGCCCUUGUGGUUUUCUGCUAGUUAUAUUUUAUUGUUAUAUUUAUUCACUAUUCCAGCAGAAGAGGAUUUCAGAAAACUUGUUUUGGUUUAUGUCAUUUUACUACCGAUGUCCCAUGCAUGUGGAAAGGAGAUUACUUGCAAAAAGUGAAGCUAAUGUAGAAAGAUUUAUUAUUUAUUAUUAUUAUUUGAAUAUUUACCGGAAGGGAAUUGAAAAUAUGGUCCA
This is a non-coding RNA of Podarcis muralis (Common wall lizard), 840 nucleotides long. NCBI's taxonomy places the organism in Eukaryota, Metazoa, Chordata, Lepidosauria, Squamata, Lacertidae. The record is from RefSeq and is a predicted model, not a curated record.